GUUCCAGUCCAACGUUAAUCGGGGCUGGGUGAGUCGACCCCUAAGGCGAGGCCGAAAGGCGUAGUCGAUGGGAAAAUGGUUAAUAUUCCAUUACUUCUGUGUAAUGCGAUGAGAGGACGGAGAAGGCUAAAUCAGCCUGGCGUUGGUUGUCCAGGUGAAAGGAUGUAGGCAUGUAUCUUAGGCAAAUCCGGGGUACUCUAUGCUGAGAUCUGAUAGCAAGCUGUACUUGUACAGCGAAGUGGUUGAUGCCAUGCUUCCAGGAAAAGUCUCUAAGCUUCAGUUACACAGGAAUCGUACCCGAAACCGACACAGGUGGUCAGGUCGAGUAGACCAAGGCGCUUGAGAGAACUCUGCUGAAGGAACUAGGCAAAAUGGUACCGUAACUUCGGGAGAAGGUACGCUGUUGUUGGUGAUGGAACUCGCUUCCUGAGCUGACGACAGCCGCAGAAACCAGGCCGCUGCAACUGUUUAUUAAAAACAUAGCACUCUGCAAACACGAAAGUGGACGUAUAGGGUGUGAUGCCUGCCCGGUGCUGGAAGGUUAAUUGAUGGGGUUAGCGUAAGCGAAGCUCUUGAUCGAAGCCCCAGUAAACGGCGGCCGUAACUAUAACGGUCCUAAGGUAGCGAAAUUCCUUGUCGGGUAAGUUCCGACCUGCACGAAUGGCAUAAUGAUGGCGGCGCUGUCUCCAGCAGAGGCUCAGUGAAAUCGAAAUCGCUGUGAAGAUGCAGUGUACCCGCGGCUAGACGGAAAGACCCCGUGAACCUUUACUGCAGCUUGACACUGAACUUUGACCUUACUUGUGUAGGAUAGGUGGGAGGCUUUGAAGCUGGAACGCUAGUUCCAGUGGAGCCGUCCUUGAAAUACCACCCUGGUAAUGUUGAGGUUCUAACUCUGUCCCGUGAUCCGGGACGAGGACCGUGUCUGGUGGGUAGUUUGACUGGGGCGGUCUCCUCCUAAAGAGUAACGGAGGAGUACGAAGGUGCGCUCAGCGUGGUCGGAAAUCACGCGUAGAGUAUAAAGGCAAAAGCGCGCUUAACUGCGAGACCCACAAGUCGAGCAGGUACGAAAGUAGGUCUUAGUGAUCCGGUGGUUCUGUAUGGAAGGGCCAUCGCUCAACGGAUAAAAGGUACUCUGGGGAUAACAGGCUGAUACCGCCCAAGAGUUCAUAUCGACGGCGGUGUUUGGCACCUCGAUGUCGGCUCAUCUCAUCCUGGGGCUGAAGCAGGUCCCAAGGGUAUGGCUGUUCGCCAUUUAAAGAGGUACGCGAGCUGGGUUUAGAACGUCGUGAGACAGUUCGGUCCCUAUCUACCGUGGGCGCUGGAAAUUUGAGAGGAUCUGCUCCUAGUACGAGAGGACCAGAGUGGACGAACCUCUGGUGUACCGGUUGUGACGCCAGUCGCAUCGCCGGGUAGCUAUGUUCGGAAGGGAUAACCGCUGAAAGCAUCUAAGCGGGAAGCCUACCUCAAGAUAAGAUUUCCCUAGGACUUUAUGUCCUCUAAAGAGCCGUUCGAGACUAGGACGUUGAUAGGUUGGAUGUGGAAGCAUAGUGAUAUGUGAAGCUGACCAAUA
This 1570-nucleotide ribosomal RNA is filed under the name Acinetobacter baumannii. RNAcentral's name for it is "partial 23S ribosomal RNA". It matches the Rfam family "Bacterial large subunit ribosomal RNA", at positions 1351 to 2900 of the family's 2925-position model. The record is from RNAcentral. Lineage: Bacteria; Pseudomonadati; Pseudomonadota; Gammaproteobacteria; Moraxellales; Moraxellaceae.